AGAGUGGAUGCAAUGGUUCAAAUGUAAAGGAAAUAGGAAAGUAACUCAGUGGACUGCAUUCAAAGGAUAAUGCCCAGACCUCCUGGAGUCACAGGGUGCUAGUGACUGUCAGGUGACACCCAUGCCUCCCAUCCAGAGGCCUCUGGCAAAGCCCCACACUCUCCUUUUGCCGGGGUCGUGCUUGCUGCAAAGUGAUGCCUGCUCAGGGUCUACACACAAUGUAACAGGCCUGUGAAAACCCAACUUAAUUAGAAGUUGGUGGCAUCUUUUCAAACAAACACUUCCAGGAAGUAGCCACUCAGCAUUCCA
RNAcentral lists this long non-coding RNA (309 nucleotides) under Homo sapiens (human). RNAcentral's name for it is "long non-coding RNA NONHSAT185354". The record is from RNAcentral. Lineage: Eukaryota; Metazoa; Chordata; Mammalia; Primates; Hominidae.